UACGUAGGGGGCAAGCGUUGUCCGGAAUCAUUGGGCGUAAAGCGCGUGUAGGCGGUUCGGUAAGUCCGCUGUGAAAGUCGGGGGCUCAACCCUCGGAUGCCGGUGGAUACUGUCGAGCUUGAGUACGGAAGAGGCGAGUGGAAUUCCUGGUGUAGCGGUGAAAUGCGCAGAUAUCAGGAGGAACACCAAUUGCGAAGGCAGCUCGCUGGGACGUUACUGACGCUGAGGCGCGAAAGCGUGGGGAGCAAACAGG
This 253-nucleotide ribosomal RNA is filed under the name uncultured bacterium. RNAcentral describes it as "partial 16S ribosomal RNA". It matches the Rfam family "Bacterial small subunit ribosomal RNA", at positions 524 to 776 of the family's 1533-position model. The record is from RNAcentral.